GGCUCGCACCUGUGCAACCCGGCCCCGCGAACCCGGUCAGGCCCGGAAGGGAGCAGCCGUAAGCGGACCGCAGGGUGUGCCGCAGGCUCGUCGAGCCCCU
This 100-nucleotide signal recognition particle RNA is filed under the name Acidobacteriota bacterium. RNAcentral describes it as "signal recognition particle sRNA small type". It matches the Rfam family "Bacterial small signal recognition particle RNA". Rfam says of the family: The signal recognition particle (SRP) is a universally conserved ribonucleoprotein involved in the co-translational targeting of proteins to membranes. Archaeal SRP consists of a 7S RNA and homologues of the eukaryotic SRP19 and SRP54 proteins. The record is from RNAcentral. Lineage: Bacteria; Pseudomonadati; Acidobacteriota.